CCGAGUCUCCGACUCUAAACCAUCGCGAACAUACUACGUCGUUGCCUCGGCGGGCGGCUCUAAAACGGAGCCUAUAGCCUUUGUUAAAAAGGUACCCGCUAAAAAGCCCGCUAAACUAUGUCGUAUCUUGUUACUAUAAGUACCCGCGAGAGCGGAAAGUCA
This 162-nucleotide unclassified non-coding RNA is filed under the name uncultured fungus. RNAcentral describes it as "sequence contains ITS1, 5.8S rRNA gene". Lineage: Eukaryota; Fungi. The record is from RNAcentral.